This 253-nucleotide ribosomal RNA is filed under the name uncultured bacterium. RNAcentral describes it as "partial 16S ribosomal RNA". It matches the Rfam family "Bacterial small subunit ribosomal RNA", at positions 524 to 776 of the family's 1533-position model. The record is from RNAcentral.
UACGAGGGGGGCGAGCGUUGUUCGGAAUUAUUGGGCGUAAAGGGUGCGUAGGCGGUUUGGUAAGUCUCGUGUGAAAUCUCCGGGCUCAACUCGGAGCCUGCACGAGAAACUGCCGGGCUUGAGUGUGGGAGAGGUGAGUGGAAUUCCUGGUGUAGCGGUGAAAUGCGCAGAUAUCAGGAGGAACACCGGUGGCGAAGGCGGGUCUCUGGGCAGUAACUGACGCUGAGGAGCGAAAGCGUGGGGAGCGAACAGG